ACCUACGGGAGGCAGCAGUGGGGAAUAUUGGGCAAUGGGCGCAAGCCUGACCCAGCAACGCCGCGUGAAGGAAGAAGGCUUUCGGGUUGUAAACUUCUUUUCUCAGGGACGAAGAAAGUGACGGUACCUGAGGAAUAAGCCACGGCUAACUACGUGCCAGCAGCCGCGGUAAUACGUAGGUGGCAAGCGUUAUCCGGAUUUACUGGGUGUAAAGGGCGUGUAGGCGGGACUGCAAGUCAGAUGUGAAAACCACGGGCUCAACCUGUGGCCUGCCUUUGAAACUUGAGUUCUUGGGUACUGGAGAG
Molecule: ribosomal RNA, 305 nt
Filed under: uncultured bacterium
Lineage: Bacteria
Description: bacterial SSU rRNA
Rfam family: Bacterial small subunit ribosomal RNA
Source: RNAcentral